AGCAUUGUUCGGAAUUACUGGGCGGAAAGAGCACGUAGGCGGCUUUGUAAGUUAGAGGUGAAAGCCCAGGGCUUAACCCUGGAAUUGCCUUUAAGACUGCAUCGCUAGAAUUGUGGAGAGGUAAGUGGAAUUCCGAGUGUAGAGGUGAAAUUCGUAGAUAUUCGGAAGAACACCAGUGGCGAAGGCGACUUACUGGACACAUAUUGACGCUGAGGUGCGAAAGCGUGGGGAGCAAACAGG
This 240-nucleotide ribosomal RNA is filed under the name uncultured bacterium. RNAcentral's name for it is "partial 16S ribosomal RNA". It matches the Rfam family "Bacterial small subunit ribosomal RNA", at positions 537 to 776 of the family's 1533-position model. The record is from RNAcentral.